Molecule: ribosomal RNA, 253 nt
Filed under: uncultured bacterium
Lineage: Bacteria
Description: partial 16S ribosomal RNA
Rfam family: Bacterial small subunit ribosomal RNA
Source: RNAcentral
UACGUAGGGUGCAAGCGUUGUCCGGAAUUAUUGGGCGUAAAGAGCUCGUAGGCGGUUUGUUGCGUCGGCUGUGAAAUCCCGAGGCUCAACCUCGGGUCUGCAGUCGAUACGAGCAAACUAGAGUGUUGCAGGGGAGACUGGAAUUCCUGGUGUAGCGGUGGAAUGCGUAGAUAUCUGGAAGAACACCGGUGGCGAAGGCGGCUCGCUGGGCUGGUUCUGACACUCAUCCGCGAAAGCGUGGGGAGCAAACAGG